This 417-nucleotide unclassified non-coding RNA is filed under the name soil metagenome. Its description in RNAcentral is "partial contains 5.8S ribosomal RNA, internal transcribed spacer 2, and large subunit ribosomal RNA". The stretch from base 1 to 120 matches the Rfam family "5.8S ribosomal RNA", at positions 35 to 154 of the family's 154-position model. The record is from RNAcentral.
GAUGAAGAACGUAGCGAAAUGCGAUAAGUAAUGUGAAUUGCAGAAUUCAGUGAAUCAUCGAAUCUUUGAACGCACCUUGCGCUCCUUGGUAUUCCAAAGAGCAUGCCUGUUUGAGUAUCAUUAAAUUAUCAACUGUACCAAUUUGGUUGCAGAUUGGAUGUGGGAGAUUUUGCAGGCUUUUGAUUUCUCUUUGAGAAAACGGUCAGCUCUCCUGAAAUAUAUUAGCAGUGCCUUUGUUUGUUCAUUAGGUGUGAUAAUUUAUCUACAUCUUCAAAUGGUACCUUCAUUUGUGUAAAGGUCAUAUUGCUUCUAAUUGUCUUUGGACAUAAAAAAAAAAAACAUAUAAUUGUAUGGAAAACUUGAUCUCAAAUCAGGCAGGACUACCCGCUGAACUUAAGCAUAUCAAUAAGCGGAGGA